UACGUAGGGUGCGAGCGUUGUCCGGAAUUACUGGGCGUAAAGAGCUCGUAGGUGGUUUGUCGCGUUGUUCGUGAAAACUCACAGCUCAACUGUGGGCGUGCGGGCGAUACGGGCAGACUGGAGUACUGCAGGGGAGACUGGAAUUCCUGGUGUAGCGGUGGAAUGCGCAGAUAUCAGGAGGAACACCAACGGCGAAGGCAGCUCGCUGGGACGGUACUGACGCUGAGGCGCGAAAGCGUGGGGAGCGAACAGG
RNAcentral lists this ribosomal RNA (253 nucleotides) under uncultured bacterium. RNAcentral describes it as "partial 16S ribosomal RNA". It matches the Rfam family "Bacterial small subunit ribosomal RNA", at positions 524 to 776 of the family's 1533-position model. The record is from RNAcentral.